ACUCUGAACUUCAGACAAAUGAGGCAACUCAUUCUAAGAAUCAGCUGCCUUUCUGACCUCAGUUAAGUGGAAUGGAAGGAGCUGAAAAAUCUAUGUAAGCCAUGCCUGACUAGGCAGUCCUUAGGAAUGUUGUCAUUAAUGAUCUAUUUUGCACCACCCUGUUCAUUGCUUUUGAAACAAAGUUUCUGGACCAACAGGAAGAAGAAAGUCAGAUGCAUCCUUAAAUCUUAAUUCUACACCAUAAAUUCUCGCCCCCGCGAAAGUCUUACAAACACAGCUACGUUUCUUGAACAGAGGAAAAAACAAGGCUUGCAUUAUGGCAGUGGUAUCAUAUUUUCAAACCUCAGCCGGGAUAAACUGCAUCCAAUUAAGUUGAGAAAAUAUGGCACAGCUGGACGCCUGGAGAUCUGAGCCACGUUCCAAAGAAAAAGUGGGAUAUAAGUCAACUAAUAGCUGAUAACAGUUCCGCCACAUUUCUGGAGAUCGUGGAUUUUUUUGAGUGUUCCCAAGAGCCAAGCAUCUUGGCACUCAAUCUUAGCACAAUUCUACUCAUAAGGCAGAGCUUCAUGAACUUCUCCAAGGGCUAAUCGCUAGAUACUCUUUUGCAACACAAAAAUUAUCAUGUGGAUCCAAGUUAUGCAAGGAGAGAAAAUUGAUCAGAAUGAAUUACUGCUGGUCAAGCUUUGGAGGCCAACGAACCAUAUUUCUCUCCACUCUCAGUGCAAACAACCGCUUUCCAGGAGUGAAGAUCAAUAGGAUUAAAGCAAGAGAGAAAGAGUUAAA
Pantherophis guttatus is the source of this 783-nucleotide long non-coding RNA. RefSeq lists it as uncharacterized. The record is from RefSeq and is a predicted model, not a curated record. NCBI's taxonomy places the organism in Eukaryota, Metazoa, Chordata, Lepidosauria, Squamata, Colubridae.